AUUAAAUAUAGUAAUAAAUUUUCGUAUUCAAUUUUGAUCGCUUGUUUUAUUUAAACUUUUUUAUGAUUAGUAUUUUUGUUGGUAUUAGAUGAUAAAAUAUGGAUACUACUUUAUAUGUUACUUAUGUUUUUUAAUUUUUCAAAACUUUUUAAUAAAACAGGCCAUUAAAAUUGAACGGCGCUUAAA
This 186-nucleotide microRNA precursor is filed under the name Oryza punctata. RNAcentral's name for it is "MIR812 microRNA precursor family". It matches the Rfam family "MIR812 microRNA precursor family". The record is from Rfam by way of RNAcentral. Lineage: Eukaryota; Viridiplantae; Streptophyta; Magnoliopsida; Poales; Poaceae.